AUAAUGGGUCAGCGACUUAUAUUCUGUAGCAAGGUUAACCGAAUAGGGGAGCCGAAGGGAAACCGAGUCUUAACUGGGCGUUAAGUUGCAGGGUAUAGACCCGAAACCCGGUGAUCUAGCCAUGGGCAGGUUGAAGGUUGGGUAACACUAACUGGAGGACCGAACCGACUAAUGUUGAAAAAUUAGCGGAUGACUUGUGGCUGGGGGUGAAAGGCCAAUCAAACCGGGAGAUAGCUGGUUCUCCCCGAAAGCUAUUUAGGUAGCGCCUCGUGAAUUCAUCUCCGGGGGUAGAGCACUGUUUCGGCAAGGGGGUCAUCCCGACUUACCAACCCGAUGCAAACUGCGAAUACCGGAGAAUGUUAUCACGGGAGACACACGGCGGGUGCUAACGUCCGUCGUGAAGAGGGAAACAACCCAGACCGCCAGCUAAGGUCCCAAAGUCAUGGUUAAGUGGGAAACGAUGUGGGAAGGCCCAGACAGCCAGGAUGUUGGCUUAGAAGCAGCCAUCAUUUAAAGAAAGCGUAAUAGCUCACUGGUCGAGUCGGCCUGCGCGGAAGAUGUAACGGGGCUAAACCAUGCACCGAAGCUGCGGCAGCGACGCUUAUGCGUUGUUGGGUAGGGGAGCGUUCUGUAAGCCUGUGAAGGUGUACUGUGAGGUAUGCUGGAGGUAUCAGAAGUGCGAAUGCUGACAUAAGUAACGAUAAAGCGGGUGAAAAGCCCGCUCGCCGGAAGACCAAGGGUUCCUGUCCAACGUUAAUCGGGGCAGGGUGAGUCGACCCCUAAGGCGAGGCCGAAAGGCGUAGUCGAUGGGAAACAGGUUAAUAUUCCUGUACUUGGUGUUACUGCGAAGGGGGGACGGAGAAGGCUAUGUUGGCCGGGCGACGGUUGUCCCGGUUUAAGCGUGUAGGCUGGUU
Molecule: ribosomal RNA, 914 nt
Filed under: Escherichia coli
Lineage: Bacteria; Pseudomonadati; Pseudomonadota; Gammaproteobacteria; Enterobacterales; Enterobacteriaceae
Description: partial 23S ribosomal RNA
Rfam family: Bacterial large subunit ribosomal RNA
Source: RNAcentral